Molecule: long non-coding RNA, 490 nt
Filed under: Salmo salar (Atlantic salmon)
Lineage: Eukaryota; Metazoa; Chordata; Actinopteri; Salmoniformes; Salmonidae
Description: lncRNA (ENSSSAG00000083612.1)
Source: RNAcentral
CAGCGAGAGCCAUUUCAGCGUGCUCUUUGGUGUGCAGGAGCUGCGGGGAGUUUGACCUGUACUACUACGACGGCCUAGCCAAUCAGCAGGAGGAAAUCUGCCUAACUGUCUCUUUAGGUACCACAGGAAUAUCUGCUGGCUGCCAAGGUAUCGACACUGAUCUCAUUCCUCCUCUUGAACACUGUAUACGGACCAAAUGGAAAGAUGCCAUUGUCAAUUGGAAUGACACCGAGCCCAUACUUUGACUGGCUAGUGGAUAGAAGGUGAUGUGUAGAUGAGACUGGGACGACCCCAUGGCUGGAGACACAAAAUAUACUGCUUUCUUAUUGCAAAAUAUGCCCUUAAGCAAACACUUUUAUCCAAAGCGAAUUAUAGUCAUGCAUGCAUGCAUACAUUACAGAUUAAAUAGAAUUUUACCCAGUAGCGGUGCAUGGGUAAAAUCACUGGGGAAGCCAAGCCCCCCCCACCCAAAAGCCAUAUUAUAACCUAC